Long non-coding RNA from Aquila chrysaetos chrysaetos, 860 nucleotides. RefSeq lists it as uncharacterized. NCBI's taxonomy places the organism in Eukaryota, Metazoa, Chordata, Aves, Accipitriformes, Accipitridae. The record is from RefSeq and is a predicted model, not a curated record. The transcript has 3 exons.
UCUCCGAGGGUCACCUUCAGUACUUGACGCUGAAGAUUGUGGAAAAGAAAACGCUCCUUAAUUAUGCUGCAAGGUCUGAGGAAAGACCUGACUUUUGCUGAGGUGCCACCUGUGCUUCCUCGGUUUACUUAGUGGCUUUGCUAAGGAUGUGUGACUGAAUGGAAGGCUUGAUGGUGAAAAAACAGGUUGUCCAGGUGCCUGGGUUGUAGCCCCGGGCUGGCUGCCAGGACACAUGGGUGAUGGGCUCUGCCGGGUCUCCUUUGGAGCAGCAGCAUGAAGGGAAUUGCAAAGACGGAGACCUCCCCCUGCCGAGGUGCGACCCUGGGCUGGGGGUGCUGCAACCUCCCCUCCCCUGUAAUUAAUUUCAGCUGUUAAUAAGAUAACUCCAAGAUCAGAUCCUGUCCCCUACGCGUGGCCACCACGCUUGUAGUCCCUGAAUCUCUUGUGAGCAUCCUCUGCGUUUCAACAUCCAAAUCUUUAACGAACCUGGCUCAGACCAGACUCCUGUGGACUCACACUCAACACCCCAUGCAGUUUUGCUCUGAUCAUGAAUCUUCAUCCAGUUUUUUGUCUGCCUCCCAGAAGCUUUACAAGAGCAGACCCCCAGCUCGAGGUCUGUAUGCCCAGAGAGAUGUGUGGUGCUCCCCAGACCUGUGCCAAGCCAUGGCCAGCAGUGACAACCCUCCUGCUCCGCUGCCUCAUCCCUGCUGCCACUGUCAGGGGCAGCGCUUGGCACUGGCAGGAACCACACUCCCUACCUCGCUUAUUUACACAAAUGGUACUUGAGAUGGUGCCAAAAACCUUACUAAAGUCAAGAGUUCCAACAUCUGCAGCUGCUCUGCUCUCAGGGAGGAGAAACU